AUAUAUACACACACACAAGGAUAUCAUUGUUAACCGAAACUAUUGUUAAUUAAAUUAAAAACACUUAAAAAAAACUUCAACUUGUUUUAUUUCAGCUAAUUUCCAAAGUUAUUAUUUCACUGAUAUCCUAAAAUAACUAAAACCGAAAUAAAAAAUUAAUAAAACCUUUAUAUAGACAUAUUUAAAAACAACAACAACUAAUAAAAAUGAUAAAGCACGACAAAAGUACUUAAAGUAACAUGAAAGCAGAAAAUAAUAAAAUAACAUCUAAUUACAAAUACUAACAAAAACUAUAAUAGUCUUUCAGUUAUCCUAAACUAACACUGCUGAAUCCUCGUCACUUCUGUACCUUAAAAUGUUUUAAAACACAAUAUAACUUAAAAAAAAAAGGUUUUAUUCCUAACAGGAUGCCAAGGUGGCAUAAUGGAAAAGUAACAUCACGCAUGUGUCUAAAAUGAAGUCUUUAGGCAAAGUCACUGUGCACUAUUAAUACAGACUUUUAUUGAACAAAAACCACCAAGUUUUCACCCAUCUUGUCAUCAGGCAGUGACUAAAAAAAGAUGCUAAUCCAGUAGAGGAGGGACAGAGUCAUCACUGUUUAUUUAGGAGAUCUCAUGCAUGAACUUUAGGGUGGUAUAGGUACCAGACGCACCAACAGUGAUGACUGAAGAGCAAGCACACUGUUCUAAGACAAGGGAAAAAAAAGAUGCAAUGACACAACUGUGUAAGAAGCAACGUAUGGAAGCAGAACACACAUUCUUAAAAAUGAAUUGCUUUUCCUUUCUGGUGACGGCAUCUCUCUUUUUUUAGUUUUCUGUCUGGCCAUCUAAUAACUACACACUGCAAGUGCCACGAAUAAGUGUCGGAGACCCCAGAGGCUGACAUACAGAACAAGGGGAGGUUUAAUCAACAACAGAGGAGACCCCAGCCAUUUUAAUUAGCCGCACACACACACACACUCAGAGCGACUCCCCUGGGCACACUGGCGAUAGGGCCUGGAUUGUUUGGUUUCCUGUUCGACUGAGGAAACACUGGUGAUUACAGCUCCAGCCAUGGCUACCUCAAAAAACAAUCUGCACUUUUAUAUAAAUAGCCAGAGGAUGGAGUCCGUUUCUGCAGUCUUGAGCAACACUUCUAUCUCAUUCUUCGCUCUCUUUCUUUCUCUGAACUAUAAUUAGUCAAUAGUGUUGCUCUCCUGUGGUUGCCUUUGGUCAGCAACAAGAUCCUUUUUCGCAUUUUACCUCUGUAUGUGUAAACACGGAGACGGUGUGUUACUAUAGAGACCUUUCUGUGUACAUGGAGGCCGUGUAAAAGUGAGAGAAGGAGAGCGCAAAACUUACAACAGAAGAGAGACUAAAAGAGUGAGCGAACUCUUCCUGUUUGCAGACUUAGUCUUCGUUUCCUGUUCGUGACUUCUUGUGUGCGGCUAUUUUUAUAUUACUGCCAGUUUCUAUUGAGGUAGAAGAUAGCAGUUUAUGUUUCAAGGCCCAAAUGCGCACAAAUGUUAGCACAAACAACAAAUUUGGGAACAAAAAUUGUGAACAAAUUAUUAUUAAAACAUUGUUAUUAAAACAUUGUUUUUAAAAUGCUGAAAUGCCCAAUGUUCCUGUCGUUAUGUUGUAUAUUGUAAGUUACGAUGUGAUUACAAAAGGUUAAAAAAUGCUUCAAAAACAUUUCUUGCAACAUUCUACUAACUUUUUCACCCAAAAUAUGA
Molecule: long non-coding RNA, 1714 nt
Organism: Carassius gibelio (silver crucian carp)
Lineage: Eukaryota; Metazoa; Chordata; Actinopteri; Cypriniformes; Cyprinidae
Exons: 2
Source: RefSeq, a predicted model, not a curated record